AUGGAGCGAGUGUGCCACUCGGAUAGACGGAUCCGAAUGCCGACGACGAGCGGGACUGGACGUAAAGGAACACUCACAAUGCGGUGACGAAUGGUUCUGUGCUGUUUAGAUCGCAGAUAACGCUAUUUGGAUGGCAUUAAGGAAUUUAGUCCUUUGUCAUCCAAAGAGGAUGAUGGUGUUGGGAUUUAUGCAUUUCUUAUAGCGUUAUUUGUGGCGCAUCGUUUGAUUAUAACCUAUGAGUUUCCUGCAGUUUCCUAUGAUUCGUAGAAGUUUAUUUUUGCAGGUGAUGGCGUCCAGAUGUAUGAGUCUUUCGUAACGUUAUUAUUCAAAUUCAUCGAAACGAAACUACAUGCGUGAAGAAAACGAAACCUUCCACGAGAAUUGUUCCAUGAAAAAGUCCAUAUGCAUUUACAAAACGAUUAUGUGGAAGGGGAGUGGAAGUUAUCUGCCCAGUCUCACCGCCAUAAGUACACUGUAAUGCAGCCUCUCUUAUCGGCCUUAUUAAUCAUUCAACGAGUGUAACAUGGUUGCAUGAAAUAGAAAGAACGUAUCGCGCAAUUGUACGUAACGAGAAGGUUAACAAAUUGUACGGCUAAGGAUGUCAUCUAUCAGAUCGACUCGUGUUACGAUUAUCACACAAUCUGUCUCGAGACUCGUGUCCAACGUUCUUUACGUCUCUUUCAGCAAUAACGUAACUCGCAUACAUCAUCGUAGGGUAUUCCUUUGACAAGGAAAAUUCAAAUGAGGUUAUGAACUAAGCCUGAAAAGGAUUUUGAAUGUAUAGAAAUUAACCUAUAGCGAAUGAUAGAUACUUUGUAAUUUAAAGACACUCAAUUUUCAGAGAAAAAUUUACAAAGAAUAUGCUUAUAACUCUCCAGACUAAAGAAAUCAAUUUUUCAAUGUGAACAAAUAUUAUUAGAAUAACAAACAUCCUAAAUUAAAAUAAAAACAGAAAAAUGUGCGACGAAUAAUUUGCGAAAUAAAAGUCUACAAGUACAGCACGUUCUCAUAAUAGACAGAAAUUACAAAAUUCAAGAUUCCGUAUCUGUUAAACAAAUCAGAAACUAGCAAAAUUAAACUCGCCUUAAUCUCACGUUUAAUCCAUCAUAUUUUAUUUUGAAAAAGAUGCCUAAUACCAAAGCCAAUUUACUAUGAAAUCUUUUGCUAUUCGAACAUUGCAACAGCAAAAGUUUUAGAAUAGAAAAAUUUAGAUACCUUUUAUUUCUUAUAUAGUUUCAUCAACGGCGUCAUGCAAGCAGAGUAUAUAAUAAUAGCAGAGCAGAGCAAUAAUCGUUCCCUAGAUUUCACGAGGAUUUCAUAAUCGCGAUAAAAAGUAGAUUUAUUCGUACAGGUAGUAGAAACAUAGCAGGUCAGCCAGAGAUUCAAUUAAAGAGCUCACAUACGUGACUGAUUUUGUAGGAUUUACUUUCCAUUGAACUCGAGCAUCUCAAAAUCUAGCGCGGAAUUAUCUCAGAGUUAAUCGAAAGAAACUUCAUCAGACUGUUCGUCUGUCUCAGGCAGACGAUUGCCCAAAGCUAGGUUUAUUAGAAUUUAGAUUAUAAGAUGGAUAUGAAAUUCUGUUCAUUAUCAUGUUCGUUCAUCGUCUUCAAAUUGCAGACUCGCACUACUUUAAUUUAUCUAUCAGAUAUGUUUCGGUGAAUUAAAGAUUCGACACAGAAAAUGAGGAAAAUGUGGCAAAACAGUGGAAGAUUUGCACAAGAUCCUUCAGCUGACUCCUACACACGAGGUGCUGGCUCUUCUAUGAGGAACUCUGGUUGAAUUUUCAUUAGAAUUCAUCAAACCACCUUCAGACUUCAUUAUACUGUAAUAGUAGUGGGGCUGCAUAAUAACAGACUCACUGUACAGACCUUAUUUGCAUACAUUAAAAAGGAAGAUACGGUGUAUGGGAUGCAUCUUCACACUUUAGAAUGCUAGACAUAUUGCAGGCAACGCACCAUUGUUAGAACAUUAUACUUCUUCAUACAUAGUAAUGAGUAAAUAUAAGAUAGUAUUGCAGAAUAUAUUUUCACAUGCUGUAAUAAUAUUUAUGUUAUACGUAAAUACAAGGCGCAAUGUAUUAAAUUAGUCAAUAUACUAAGGAGAACAUUGUUUUGUAUGUUAUCACAUUGAUCAGAUUUCCAAACAUUAAUAUGCUACGAUAAAUAAUAUAGACUAUAUGCAUGUUAAUAUUUCUGUACUAUGUGUCACAUAUUACACAAUAACAGAGAUAACAUAGAAAAGAUAUUUUUACAUACUAUGUAAGUAUAAUGGAAAUAGUAUUAUAAAUAUCGUAUUCUUAUCUCACUCCUUUUAAUAAAUACACAUCUAAUAGAA
Bombus terrestris (buff-tailed bumblebee) is the source of this 2334-nucleotide long non-coding RNA. RefSeq lists it as uncharacterized. The transcript is spliced from 4 exons. The record is from RefSeq and is a predicted model, not a curated record. Lineage: Eukaryota; Metazoa; Arthropoda; Insecta; Hymenoptera; Apidae.